UUACGACCACAUCACGUUGAAACAUUGGUUCCUGUACGAUCACCGAAGUUAAGCAACGUUGAGCCUUGUCAUUACUUAGAUAGGUUUAUUGCUUGGGAAUACCAGGGGCUGUAAG
This is a non-coding RNA of Acanthosepion pharaonis, 115 nucleotides long. The record is from the annotation of a GenBank genome assembly. Lineage: Eukaryota; Metazoa; Mollusca; Cephalopoda; Sepiida; Sepiidae.